This 184-nucleotide ribosomal RNA is filed under the name Agrocybe praecox. Its description in RNAcentral is "5.8S ribosomal RNA". The stretch from base 19 to 172 matches the Rfam family "5.8S ribosomal RNA". From Rfam's summary of the family: 5.8S ribosomal RNA (5.8S rRNA) is a component of the large subunit of the eukaryotic ribosome. Lineage: Eukaryota; Fungi; Basidiomycota; Agaricomycetes; Agaricales; Agrocybaceae. The record is from RNAcentral. RNAcentral also lists the same sequence under 4 other names.
UGCCUAUAAACUAUAUACAACUUUCAGCAACGGAUCUCUUGGCUCUCGCAUCGAUGAAGAACGCAGCGAAAUGCGAUAAGUAAUGUGAAUUGCAGAAUUCAGUGAAUCAUCGAAUCUUUGAACGCACCUUGCGCUCCUUGGUAUUCCGAGGAGCAUGCCUGUUUGAGUGUCAUUAAAUUCUCAA